This 253-nucleotide ribosomal RNA is filed under the name uncultured bacterium. RNAcentral describes it as "partial 16S ribosomal RNA". It matches the Rfam family "Bacterial small subunit ribosomal RNA", at positions 524 to 776 of the family's 1533-position model. The record is from RNAcentral.
UACAGAGGGGGCAAGCGUUGUUCGGAAUUACUGGGCGUAAAGGGCGCGUAGGCGGCCUUCUAAGUCGAACGUGAAAUCCCCGGGCUCAACCCGGGAACUGCGUCCGAUACUGGAAGGCUUGAAUCCGGGAGAGGGAUGUGGAAUUCCAGGUGUAGCGGUGAAAUGCGUAGAUAUCUGGAGGAACACCGGUGGCGAAGGCGGCAUUCUGGACUGGUACUGACGCUCAUGAGCGAAAGCGUGGGGAGCGAUCCGG